Molecule: ribosomal RNA, 348 nt
Filed under: uncultured soil bacterium
Lineage: Bacteria
Description: bacterial SSU rRNA
Rfam family: Bacterial small subunit ribosomal RNA
Source: RNAcentral
AGAUUGAACGCUAGCGGGAUGCUUUACACAUGCAAGUCGAACGGCAGCGCGGACUUCGGUCUGGCGGCGAGUGGCGAACGGGUGAGUAAUAUAUCGGAACGUGCCCAGUAGCGGGGGAUAACUACGCGAAAGCGUGGCUAAUACCGCAUACGCCCUACGGGGGAAGGGGGGGAUUCUUCGGAGCCUCUCACUAUUGGAGCGGCCGAUAUCAGAUUAGCUAGUUGGUGAGGUAAAGGCUACACCAAGGCGACGAUCUGUAGCUGGUUUGAGAGGACGACCAGCCACACGUGGGACUGACGACGACGGCCCAGACUCCGUAACGGGGCGGACCGAGCUAGGUAGGGGUAA